RNAcentral lists this ribosomal RNA (468 nucleotides) under uncultured bacterium. RNAcentral describes it as "partial 16S ribosomal RNA". It matches the Rfam family "Bacterial small subunit ribosomal RNA", at positions 28 to 507 of the family's 1533-position model. The record is from RNAcentral.
GACGAACGCUGGCGACGUGCUUAACACAUGCAAGUCGAACGGAAAGGCCCUGCUUUUGUUGGGUGCUCGAGUGGCGAACGGGUGAGUAACACGUGAGUAACCUGCCCUUGACUUUGGGAUAACUUCAGGAAACUGGGGCUAAUACCGGCUAGGAGCUCCUGCUGCAUGGUGGGGGUUGGAAAGUUUCGGCGGUUGGGGUUGGACUCGCGGCUUAUCAGCUUGUUGGUGGGGUAGUGGCUUACCAAGGCUUUGACGGGUAGCCGGCCUGAGAGGGUGACCGGCCACAUUGGGACUAAGAUACGGCCCAGACUCCAACGGGAGGCAGCAGUGGGGAAUAUUGCACAAUGGGCGGAAGCCAGAUGCAGCAACGCCGCGUGCGGGAAGACGGCCUUCGGGUUGUAAACCGCUUUCGCCUGUGACGAAGCGUGAGUGACGGUAAUGGGUAAAGAAGCACCGGCUAACUACGUG